GAGGGAGACAGGAAUUGGAAAAGGGUAGGAAUGGGGGAGGAGAUGCCAGAUCAGCCCUGAGAACCUCUUUACCCAUCUCAAAGACUUGGGACACGAAUGGGAAAGGCUGGGCUAACUUCUGCUGCCCUUCCCCACUGUCUGUCCAGGAGCACCUGGGAAAGACAAAUAGAAGCUGAAUCCUUCACUGAAAGCCCCGUCAUCAUAUCUAUGGUUUGGGCAUUAGGAACGGCCUGGCCCCACAAAUCACACAACUGGGGUGUAGAACAAAAUGGUUCCAGAGAUGCCACCAGGCUGGUCCAGGGCCGAUGCAGGCCAGAACCCCGCUGGGAGGACUCCCCAGAACAGGCACUGAGCUGAGGAAAGGCAGGACACGUGGUCUGCUACCGACCCCACCAGAUCUUGCUGGGACUCUGGGCAGCUCCGGAGUAAGAGCAGCAUGGUGAGUGUUUAAGAGCGCAGAGGCUCACUGGGCAGCCCCGGGGACACUGCUAAGUCCCCAAACCGGGUCUACAGGCCUUCGACCACAUUCAUGCGGCCACGUGCCUCAGAGCCUUCGGGGGGUCUUAGGAGGCAGGCAGGAGGGUCUCCCUUCUAGGCCAUUCUAGGAGGGGACUGGAGAGCAGAGGUUAGACUGUAGGGUAGGGGUAACCUGAUCUUACAGUCCGGAAGCCAUGAGACUAGUCGCCUGGCCUUGCGCCCCGCCCCACUGCAGGGUGGAAAGCCUGUCCCCCUCCAGUCACCCAGCUCAAUAACGCCCUCCUCCGUGGGUCUUCUGGGCCCCAGAAAUCGUUCCCUCUUUCCCUCGCUUGGGUACUGCCAUGCGGUCUGGGGAACCCGUGGACUAUCGAUGGGUCUGGCCCAGGGUUUGCCCUGCCCGUUAGCCCAGGAGGAUAGACAGACACGGGGCACUGGUGUUCACUUGGUGAUUUCUCCUGCCCGUCCCGAAAGCAAGCAAUUCCACCGCUUCUCUUCAAAGCUCUGCAACGAAGAGCUAGGUCCAAGGACCGCAGGCGGAGGCGGGAAGUGUCAAGAUCCCAGGUUACGGAAUGGCACCAAGUCGGUAACCAAAGGAAGCAACAACCCGGGUGUUCAAGGUAGUCGUGCAAGGCGGCGUGGGGGCGAGGCCGAGGCCACUCCCUCCCACUUCCUUGACGCUAUUUCCUGGGAGGAGCCGGAGCUCGCGGCCCGGAGCCAAGAGAUUCCCAGCCCAGUGCUCCAAAAUACUCGGCCUGGGGGAGGCUGGUCCGUGAGCGCGCGCCAGGACCGUUCCGCCAUGCAUAGUGGACCCAGCACUAUAGCAAGCCUGGCACGACCUCUAAGGCGGUUCGCGGCAAUACCCGCACGUCGGCUCGUUGGUCUAGGGGUAUGAUUCUCGCUUCGGGUGCGAGAGGUCCCGGGUUCAAAUCCCGGACGAGCCCUCCUUUACCUUUUGCUGAGACAAGAGUGUCUUCAAGGAAUGUGUUACCUGACCAGCGCUGCAGGAGGCUUGACUGGAAGUCAUCAAUGUACAGUAAGCUCUUUUGUGGCACCGCGGUAGCAGAAAGCAUCUCAAUCCCCAGACCCGCCUGGCAUGUCAGGAAGAGACGAGGCACGCCCAGACUUGGGCAGGUCGCUCCCUUUCUGCUUCCUGACUUCCUUCCUGGUGUCUCAACUCGGCCACCACAGCCUGGUUUCGCUUUGAUUGACACGCGUCAAUCUAUAGUUGUGGAUGACAGUGUUCGGGAGAGCCCAGGAACUGUCAAAACUUGGUUCUCUGCAGCCCUGAAGGCACUCUGUCUCUUUCGGUCACUCCAUCUGACGAUUGGUGCCUGAAAUACACCUACGGUUUCUGGUCAGCGUUUAUCAGUGGUUGGAAGAACAGAACCCCUAGGAACCCUGCUGUCAGCACGCUGAGUGUAAAGUCUCAGAUCAAGGAUUCGGAGAAAGGUAUUCAUAGCUCCUCCUCGUUAGUAUAGUGGUUGGUUGGGAUGAGUCGGGUUGGACCCGUGCGGAUCCAGGAAAACAGCAUCAGCGAGAUCGAGGUAAAAGUAAUGGCUGCCGUCGUCUGCCCAGCGCGCAAUUGUGAGUGACCUUCACCGCUAGCGCGCGCCACCCACCCCACAUGAACUUGUAGGGUUAUGCCCAGUCUACAGACGAGGAAACCAAGAUCCAGGGAAGCUGAGUCACCGGCAGAGCUGGGAUUACGUCUAAGAUUUGUCCAGGGGGAGAGAACUGCAGCGACACCAUGAUGAUUUAUCAUCUCCAGAAAACAAAAAAAAGGCCUAGACACAUAAAAAUGGCUUCUCUGUAGUGAGCUCAACGAGCUCAAUGUGAUUCCAGUUAAGGAAUUGGGGCCUUAAGCCAAAUGCGCCUAAACACAACUUGCCUCUCUAUUAUUUAUCCAGAGGAUGAAUUUAAUUCCUACGUACAUGCGCCCACAUCUCGUCAGCUGGUGCCUCAGAGAAAUGCGCUGACAAAUCUUAAAGGUGGGGUUUCAUGACAAAAGUCCGCCCGUUAUUGCUGCUCAACAGACCCAUCAAGUCACACUAUUGGACAGGCCUCGUGGCGCAACGGUAGCGCGUCUGACUCCAGAUCAGAAGGUUGCGUGUUCAAAUCACGUCGGGGUCACACAAAACGUUGUUUUCCCUAAUCAAAUAGACCUACGGUGACAUUUUUCAGGAUAGGAAAAAAAAAAGCCUCCUCAGUAGAAGGAUAGGAGGGGAAUGAGACAAAUAUGAACGUUAUUCAGAAGUUGGGUGCAGACUUUCAACAUUAUGUGAUAUAUCCCUGUGGCAAACCUGCGCAUGUAUCCCUAAGGUCUAUAAAAGUAAAAAUAAAUUUAAAAAUAAAAAAUUCCCUGUUGUA
Molecule: long non-coding RNA, 2844 nt
Organism: Gorilla gorilla gorilla (western lowland gorilla)
Lineage: Eukaryota; Metazoa; Chordata; Mammalia; Primates; Hominidae
Exons: 2
Source: RefSeq, a predicted model, not a curated record